GAUGAACGCUGGCGGCGUGCCUAAUACAUGCAAGUCGAGCGAACGGACGAGAAGCUUGCUUCUCUGAUGUUAGCGGCGGACGGGUGAGUAACACGUGGAUAACCUACCUAUAAGACUGGGAUAACUUCGGGAAACCGGAGCUAAUACCGGAUAAUAUUUUGAACCGCAUGGUUCAAAAGUGAAAGACGGUCUUGCUGUCACUUAUAGAUGGAUCCGCGCUGCAUUAGCUAGUUGGUAAGGUAACGGCUUACCAAGGCAACGAUGCAUAGCCGACCUGAGAGGGUGAUCGGCCACACUGGAACUGAGACACGGUCCAGACUCCUACGGGAGGCAGCAGUAGGGAAUCUUCCGCAAUGGGCGAAAGCCUGACGGAGCAACGCCGCGUGAGUGAUGAAGGUCUUCGGAUCGUAAAACUCUGUUAUUAGGGAAGAACAUAUGUGUAAGUAACUGUGCACAUCUUGACGGUACCUAAUCAGAAAGCCACGGCUAACUACGUGCCAGCAGCCGCGGUAAUACGUAGGUGGCAAGCGUUAUCCGGAAUUAUUGGGCGUAAAGCGCGCGUAGGCGGUUUUUUAAGUCUGAUGUGAAAGCCCACGGCUCAACCGUGGAGGGUCAUUGGAAACUGGAAAACUUGAGUGCAGAAGAGGAAAGUGGAAUUCCAUGUGUAGCGGUGAAAUGCGCAGAGAUAUGGAGGAACACCAGUGGCGAAGGCGACUUUCUGGUCUGUAACUGACGCUGAUGUGCGAAAGCGUGGGGAUCAAACAGGAUUAGAUACCCUGGUAGUCCACGCCGUAAACGAUGAGUGCUAAGUGUUAGGGGGUUUCCGCCCCUUAGUGCUGCAGCUAACGCAUUAAGCACUCCGCCUGGGGAGUACGACCGCAAGGUUGAAACUCAAAGGAAUUGACGGGGACCCGCACAAGCGGUGGAGCAUGUGGUUUAAUUCGAAGCAACGCGAAGAACCUUACCAAAUCUUGACAUCCUUUGACAACUCUAGAGAUAGAGCCUUCCCCUUCGGGGGACAAAGUGACAGGUGGUGCAUGGUUGUCGUCAGCUCGUGUCGUGAGAUGUUGGGUUAAGUCCCGCAACGAGCGCAACCCUUAAGCUUAGUUGCCAUCAUUAAGAUGGGCACUCUAAGUUGACUGCCGGUGACAAACCGGAGGAAGGUGGGGAUGACGUCAAAUCAUCAUGCCCCUUAUGAUUUGGGCUACACACGUGCUACAAUGGACAAUACAAAGGGCAGCGAAACCGCGAGGUCAAGCAAAUCCCAUAAAGUUGUUCUCAGUUCGGAUUGUAGUCUGCAACUCGACUACAUGAAGCUGGAAUCGCUAGUAAUCGUAGAUCAGCAUGCUACGGUGAAUACGUUCCCGGGUCU
This 1372-nucleotide ribosomal RNA is filed under the name uncultured bacterium. Its description in RNAcentral is "bacterial SSU rRNA". It matches the Rfam family "Bacterial small subunit ribosomal RNA", at positions 28 to 1381 of the family's 1533-position model. The record is from RNAcentral.